This 605-nucleotide ribosomal RNA is filed under the name uncultured bacterium. RNAcentral's name for it is "bacterial SSU rRNA". The stretch from base 1 to 521 matches the Rfam family "Bacterial small subunit ribosomal RNA", at positions 338 to 873 of the family's 1533-position model. The record is from RNAcentral.
CCUACGGGAGGCAGCAGUGGGGAAUAUUGCACAAUGGGCGCAAGCCUGAUGCAGCAACGCCGCGUGAGGGACGACGGCCUUCGGGUUGUAAACCUCUUUUAGUAGGGAAGAAGCGAAAGUGACGGUACCUGCAGAAAAAGCACCGGCUAACUACGUGCCAGCAGCCGCGGUAAUACGUAGGGUGCAAGCGUUAUCCGGAAUUAUUGGGCGUAAAGAGCUCGUAGGCGGUUUGUCGNGUCUGCUGUGAAAACUGGAGGCUCAACCUCCAGCCUGCAGUGGGUACGGGCAAACUAGAGUGCGGUAGGGGAGAUUGGAAUUCCUGGUGUAGCGGUGGAAUGCGCAGAUAUCAGGAGGAACACCGAUGGCGAAGGCAGAUCUCUGGGCCGUAACUGACGCUGAGGAGCGAAAGCAUGGGGAGCGAACAGGAUUAGAUACCCUGGUAGUCCAUGCCGUAAACGUUGGGCGCUAGAUGUGGGGACCAUUCCACGGUUUCCGUGUCGCNGCUACGCAUAGCGCCCGCCGUCGGGAGGACGGCCGCGACGACGUAAACGUUAAACGUAAGUUAGACGGCGUGAGACGNGCCGACGACGACGACGAGGGAGAGG